GACGAACGCUGGCGGCGUGCUUAACACAUGCAAGUCGAGCGGAAAGGCCCUUCGGGGUACUCGAGCGGCGAACGGGUGAGUAACACGAGAGUAACAUGCCCCUGACUUUGGGAUAACCCUCGGAAACGGGGACUAUAACGGAUACCGAAAAGGUUCGCCUGGUGCCUGGUUGGGAAGGUAUUGGGUUUUCGGUUGGGGAUGGGCUCGCGGCUUAUCAGGUUGUGGGUGGGGUGAUGGCCUACCAAGGCGAUGACGGGUAGCCGGCCUGAGAGGGCGACCGGCCACACUGGGACUGAGACACGGCCCAGACUCCUACGGGAGGCAGCAGUGGGGAAUAUUGCACAAUGGGCGGAAGCCUGAUGCAGCAACGCCGCGUGAGGGAUGACGGCCUUCGGGUUGUAAACCGCUUUCGGCAGGGACGAAGCGUAAGUGACGGUACCGGCAGAAGAAGCACCGGCCAACUACGUG
This 468-nucleotide ribosomal RNA is filed under the name uncultured bacterium. RNAcentral describes it as "partial 16S ribosomal RNA". It matches the Rfam family "Bacterial small subunit ribosomal RNA", at positions 28 to 507 of the family's 1533-position model. The record is from RNAcentral.